AAAUUUUUACUUUCAUCUUAUGCUUUUCCCAUCCUUGUAAUGGAUUUUCACUAUAUAAUAAUUCUAGUUGUUCAUUAAUUAUUAUUCAUUCUACAAGAAAGUAGCUUGUUAAGCAAUAGUUGAAUGUUGCUACAGAACAUGGUAAGGAAUCAAAUAUGUAGAAUGAAUUUCCAGAGCUUUUGUUCUUGAUCUACAUGUUCGAAUUACAAAGUUGAAUGUGCAGUUCCCUGAAUUCUGGAGAUAAUUCUGGAGAAAGAACAUCAAAUCCAGUGACAUCUCCUCUGAUCUCAUCAAAUCCAUUAUUGCCUGAAGUCCCGACACCAGUUAUGCCGGAUUAAGUUGUUGUCAACAUAUCGGUACAAUCUUCAUCUGUAGGGAUAGAAACACUUAGAAAUGACAUUGUAUCUACAACUUCAUCAAAUACAACUAAUGAUAUCCGCACCCGAAUUGGAAUGGUCUAGUGAUUGUACGUGAACAACAUCGUUUCAUUUACAUUGUUUUGCUUCAGGCAAGAAAAUAAGCCAUAUUGGUUUGCUUUCCAUACUAUUUUUCUACAAGUCUUUUAAAGUUUUGUUGGUUUUCUUAAAUUGCAUUGAUGGGAAUGAAUUACAGAAUUGAGGUGUUUUAAAAAUUCAUUCUACUAGAAAGUAGCUUGUUAACUGAUGUAUACAUUUCUCUUAUAUAAGAAGCAAUAGUUGAAUGUUGCUACAAAACAUGGUAAGGAAUCAAAUAUGUAGAAUGAAUUUCCAGAACUUUGUUCUUGAUCUACAUGUUCGAAUUAUAAAGUUGAAUGUGAAGUUCCCAGAAUUUUCGCUCUUGAUCUAGAUAUUCAGAUUGUGUGGAAAAAUUAUUGUUUACUUUGCUUUCACAAGUACGUUUCUUCUUUUCCCACUGGAUCAUAUCUUACUUAGGGACUAAGAAUUGGUAGGAAUAUGUAAAAUUCUCUAUAAUUUUCUUAACCUCACUGAAUUCUAUGUCUGCAUUUGAGGUACUCAUCUGAUGAUUUCAAGCGGCUAUGUUCUUGUUAUUUGCAGAAUACGUUUAUUGAAAACUGAGAACAUGAACUGCAGAGUACAUGUUAAUUUUUUUAGUGACAUUUCAGUUUUCCUUUUGCAUGUAUUACUCGAUGUUACUUCUUGUAUAAGAAAAUAACACUUCUGAGUUUGAAAAUGACAUACUUGAGCCUAUUUUUCUAAUUUAUAAUUGUCUUCUACUUUACUCCGACCCUGUACCUGAUUUUCAUGUCGACAUCAACUACAUGGUGCAUUUUAUUGAAUCUGAUUUGAUAUUAGCGUCUAUGGCGUGACAUUUCUUCGAUGGCAACAGUCCUUAUUUCCUCAAGUUUUUCUCAUCUUUUGCAGUAUAUCAUUAGAAUUCAUACUAGAAUUUUUUUUACUUGCUCCAGAUUAAGGUUAGAUAUGAAUCUACGUACUGAACACAGAAUUAGUAUGGGGCCUCACAGCUAGUCAUUUCAAGAUAGAUAAUAUUUGAAGCCAAGUAACGAUGUAUCUCGGGCAAUCACAAAAAUCUUUAAGGGAAAAUUGGAUCCCCAAGGAUAUGAUUGGAAGUCAGUUACACCAUAGAUUAAGGACUUCUACUGGGAGGAGUUUAAGAAGCGACUCCAUUGGAAUAUGACAACUGAAGGUUCCAUAAAGGAUCAUUUUAUGAAAAAAUGUUCAAUAUAAUACAAGGGUAUGUUAUGUGAAGCAAGAAUCUCUGAGGAGGAACAAAAAAAUAUCCCAAAAUCUGUUUGGGAGAACUGAAAGCCUCACUAUGAUACUGAGAAGUAUAAGGCUAAAUCUGCACAAUACUCCAAAAAUCGAUGAAGUGAGAAAUGUGGUGAAGGAUUGGUCCCUCGCGCCAUACUGGAGGCUCCCGGACUCAUCGAGAGCAUGCAAGAGAACUGUUUUAGGCAACUGCUCUUGGACGGCCAUUUCAUCCACACGAACAUUUGAAGAAAACACAUACCAAAAGAAACGAUGAGUUUGUGGAUCUGAACUGUAAGAGCACAUAUGAGUUUUUUUUCAUCUGAGGUGCUGCAUACAACUUAAUAAUCAUGGAAGAGUGAUCAGAAAUCAUUGGCAAGUCGUACUCAACUUGCACAUGUCCCCCUGGAUGAUAAAAUAACCAAGCGCUGUCCAUCAUACUUCAUAUUCCAUCCACCCCUAUUAGUUUGUUGUGUAUGUGAAAAUUUCUCGAGGGAUUUCCCAUUAGUCUGUCGUUUAUAAGGUAUUUCACUCUUAUUGUUUUGAGACCUUUGAGGGACACAUUACCCACAAACAAUAGUAUUGUCAAGAUGGGAAUUAGCCAAUCUUCAAGAUUUUGUUGUUGCUCCUCACCUGCAAUGCGAUGAAACAUUUGUUCUGUAAUUGUACGCUUGCCCAGAAUUUAUGGGAAGUCAUACGUGGACUGCUUAGUAUUCAUUGGAUGUUGUAUUGUCUAAGAUCACAUCUGCAUCUCAGCUUGUAGAUGAAUUUGGAGAGUCUCCGACAGUAGAUUAUUCAAAGAUUUACAUGGAUGAAGUGCGUGGGGAUAAGAAGGCAUGUAUAUAAGGUCUUGGUUCCAAUGUUGUUUUCUAUGAAAACAUUGCUUCAUCAUCUGCUUCAACUUCUCAACCUUAAAAUUGUAGUUUUGAUGAUCAAAUGAAGGAAUACGUUUAUGAAAUGAAGGAGGAGAUGAAAUAUGAGAUGAGAGAAGAGUUGCAUGAUGAAAUGAAAAACAAAAUGCAGAUAGAAAUUCAAGAGCAGGUUGAUAAGAUUCUCCAAGAACGUUUGCCCAUCCUCAAAGCUGGGUUGCCUAAACCACCCCCUGGUACAUAGCCCGUUGGUACACACCUCCAACUAUUACACACCAUUAGCUUAGACAUGACCCAUCAUCAAAUAAUGAUGAGUCAUUUAAGAUUUCCAAACUAUUGUAGGCAUAUCUUUCAUUGUUUGUUUCUAUAUUUUGAUUUGUUUUGAACUCUUCGUCUUAGCUUUUGUAUUUGUUUAGUGAAUUUAUAAUUUAUCAAAGGAUCACUGGAUU
Solanum lycopersicum (tomato) is the source of this 3024-nucleotide non-coding RNA. NCBI's taxonomy places the organism in Eukaryota, Viridiplantae, Streptophyta, Magnoliopsida, Solanales, Solanaceae. The record is from RefSeq and is a predicted model, not a curated record.